UACGUAGGUGGCAAGCGUUAUCCGGAAUUACUGGGCGUAAAGCGCACGCAGGCGGUCUUUUAAGUUUGACGUGAAAGCUCCCGGCUUAACUGGGAGAGGUCGUUGAAGACUGGAAGACUUGAGGCAAUGAGAGGGGUGUAGAAUUCCCGGUGUAGUGGUGGAAUGCGUAGAUAUCGGGGGGAACACCAGUGGCGAAGGCGACUACCUGGCCUGUUCUUGACGCUGAGGCGCGAAAGCUAGGGGAGCAAACGGG
RNAcentral lists this ribosomal RNA (253 nucleotides) under uncultured bacterium. RNAcentral describes it as "partial 16S ribosomal RNA". It matches the Rfam family "Bacterial small subunit ribosomal RNA", at positions 524 to 776 of the family's 1533-position model. The record is from RNAcentral.